CUCCUUUUGUUUCAGUUAAGCACAGUGGUUGGGUUUUCACUGUCAUGUGUGAGAUGUGUGUCCCUCCAGCCUUUUAGGAUAUCAGCACAUUACCCAUCUGAUG
This is a small nucleolar RNA of Otolemur garnettii (small-eared galago), 103 nucleotides long. The record is from Ensembl. Lineage: Eukaryota; Metazoa; Chordata; Mammalia; Primates; Galagidae.